UUAAGUUCAGCGGGUAUCCCUACCUGAUCCGAGGUCAAACUAUAGAGGGCUUGCUGGACGCUGAUCCGCCAUGGCUCCGAGAAGCGCAAAUGUGCUACGCUAGAAGCUGGCACGACCGCUGCCAAUAGCUUUGGGGCGAGUCCACACGCUGAGGCGGGACAGACGCCCAACACAAGCAGAGCUUGAGGGGGAUGAUGACG
This 200-nucleotide unclassified non-coding RNA is filed under the name Helminthosporium sp. RNAcentral's name for it is "partial internal transcribed spacer 2". Lineage: Eukaryota; Fungi; Ascomycota; Dothideomycetes; Pleosporales; Massarinaceae. The record is from RNAcentral.